UCUCCGUUGGUGAACCAGCGGAGGGAUCAUUACAGAGUCGUAAAACACUACCAAACCCAUGUGAACUUACCUUUGUUGCCUCGGCAGGAUCUACCCGGUAGCUACCCUGUAACGGGUUACCCGGGAGCGGCCCCACCGGUGGACUUUUUAACUCUUGUUAUUUUAUGUAAUCUGAGAGUCUUAUUUUAAAUAAGUCAAAACUUUCAACAACGGAUCUCUUGGUUCUGGCAUCGAUGAAGAACGCAGC
Molecule: unclassified non-coding RNA, 247 nt
Filed under: uncultured fungus
Lineage: Eukaryota; Fungi
Description: sequence contains ITS1, 5.8S rRNA gene
Rfam family: 5.8S ribosomal RNA (bases 199-247)
Source: RNAcentral